Molecule: unclassified non-coding RNA, 222 nt
Filed under: Hevea brasiliensis (rubber tree)
Lineage: Eukaryota; Viridiplantae; Streptophyta; Magnoliopsida; Malpighiales; Euphorbiaceae
Source: RNAcentral
GCACAUUAAAUGUAUAUAUAAAGAUGGUACAAACAGAUACAAAUGACUAUCCUCCUAAAAAUGAUAAUUACAUAGAUAUAUCUCAACAUAUGAACCGGGUAAUCGGGUAACUGACGUUCGAACACUGGUAUCUUCCUCGUUUAAAAUGGUUUGAACUAGACAUGUAAAUCAAUUUCACAAAUUCACAUCACUACUUCCAAAUGUGUUAACUUUCUACCUUUU